RNAcentral lists this long non-coding RNA (996 nucleotides) under Sus scrofa (pig). Its description in RNAcentral is "lncRNA (ENSSSCG00030035021.1)". The record is from RNAcentral. Lineage: Eukaryota; Metazoa; Chordata; Mammalia; Artiodactyla; Suidae.
GGGGACUAAUCAGGGCCUUGAAUGCCAUGUAGACUCUCCUUCUGUUAUAUGAGAUUCUGUGUGUUUUCUUCAGUCUUAGUCUUAUUAACUUAUAUUCGUUUACUCAAACAAAUUAUAAAUAAAUGAUUGCUGGCACCUCUAGUUUAUGUAUGAUUAUAUUAUGUGAAUGGAGAAGGCCUUAUUUUUUUCUCCCUUCUUCUCAACCCCCUCUACCUUCUAUGUUCUUAGGGAUGAAUUGGCUUGGGUACGGCUUGUAUCCAACACUAGCCCACUCAUCUGUGUUUAAAGGCUGGGAUUAACGUUGGACCAAAAUGGUGACUUCUCUUGCAACUUCAUGGGUAAAGGGAGAAGGAAGUGAUCUCAGAAAUGUCUUACAUCUUUAAAGCAGCAAGUCUGUCCCCUUCGUGCUCAUUGAGAAUAUCUGAUACCUUCAUGUUUGGACUCAUCCAGCCCCCAUCUCCUCAGUCUAUCUCAGAUCUGACGGUGGAGGCUGCUUUGUCCAGGACCAACCUUUUCUCUUGCCUCAUUUCUGUUAUGCCAGCUGAUGAAGAGCAUGCUAUGCCCUCAGCUUCUUGGACUUCACCCUGGCCCUGGAAGUCUGCCGGAAAUCACUGAGGGUUUCUGUAUUGUUGAAUGAUGCGAUCUGCCUUCCUUUGGGAAGAUAACCUUGUCCUGGGGUUAGGAAGAGGAGGAAGAGCUCUACACCCACCUGAUCUCAAUGUUCCAGAGAGACUUCUUCUAUCAGCCUGGAUACUUGUGUCAGCUGCUGUAACUUCUGAAAUCAGGACACGUGAGUCUUCCAACUUCUCACUUUUUCAAGAUUGUUUUGGCUAUUUAGGAACCCUCUUGUUUGCACAUGACUUUUCUGAUCAGUGUGUCAAGAGUAGAAUUUUAAUAGGCCUUGUAUUGAGUAUGCAGAACAGUUCGGGGUGUGUUGCCACCUUAACAAUAUUAAGUUUUCUGAUCCAUGAAUGCAUUGUAUCUUUCCAUUUUUAA